RNAcentral lists this ribosomal RNA (480 nucleotides) under uncultured bacterium. RNAcentral describes it as "partial 16S ribosomal RNA". It matches the Rfam family "Bacterial small subunit ribosomal RNA", at positions 28 to 523 of the family's 1533-position model. The record is from RNAcentral.
GACGAACGCUGGCGGCGUGCUUAACACAUGCAAGUCGAACGGAAAGUGCUCUUCGGAGUGACUCGAGUGGCGAACGGGUGAGUAACACGUGGGUGAUCUGCCCUGCACUUUGGGAUAAGCCUGGGAAACUGGGUCUAAUACCGAAUAGGACUCCGGAUCGCAUGGUCUGGGGUGGAAAGCUUUUGCGGUGUGGGAUGGGCCCGCGGCCUAUCGGCUUGUGGGUGGGGUGAUGGCCUACGAAGGCGACGACGGGUAGCCGGCCUGAGAGGGUGUCCGGCCACGCUGGGAAUGGGAUGCGGCCCGGACUCCUACGGGAGGCAGCAGUGGGGAAUAUUGCACAAUGGGCGCAAGCCUGAUGCAGCGACGCCGCGUGAGGGAUGACGGCCUUCGGGUUGUAAACCUCUUUCACCAGGGACGAAGCGUAAGUGACGGUACCUGGAGAAGAAGCACCGGCCAACUACGUGCCAGCCGCCGCGGUAA